GCUGGCGGCGUGCUUAACACAUGCAAGUCGAGCGGUAAGGCCUUUCGGGGUACACGAGCGGCGAACGGGUGAGUAACACGUGAGCAAUCUGCCCUUCACUCUGGGAUAGCCACCGGAAACGGUGAUUAAUACCGGAUAUGACCAUUGCCCGCAUGGGUGGUGGUGGAAAGUUCUGGCGGUGAAGGAUGGGCUCGCGGCCUAUCAGCUUGUUGGUGAGGUAAUGGCUCACCAAGGCUUCGACGGGUAGCCGGCCUGAGAGGGUGACCGGCCACACUGGGACUGAGACACGGCCCAGACUCCUACGGGAGGCAGCAGUGGGGAAUAUUGGACAAUGGGCGAAAGCCUGAUCCAGCAACGCCGCGUGAGGGAUGACGGCCUUCGGGUUGUAAACCUCUUUCAGCAGGGACGAAGCGAAAGUGACGGUACCUGCAGAAGAAGCACCGGCCAACUACGUGCCAGCAGCGCCGGGUAAUAA
Molecule: ribosomal RNA, 475 nt
Filed under: Nocardioidaceae bacterium K22
Lineage: Bacteria; Bacillati; Actinomycetota; Actinomycetes; Propionibacteriales; Nocardioidaceae
Description: bacterial SSU rRNA
Rfam family: Bacterial small subunit ribosomal RNA
Source: RNAcentral